CGAGGGGGGCAAGUGUUGUUCGGAAUCACUGGGCGUAAAGGGAGCGUAGGCGGGCUCUUAAGUUGGAUGUUUAAAACCGGGGCCCAACCCCGGCGUGGCAUCCAAAACUGGGAGUCUUGAAUGGAACAGAGGCUAGUGGAAUUGGAGGUGUAGCGGUGGAAUGCGUAGAGAUCUCCAAGAACACCCGUUGCGAAGGCGGCUAGCUGGGUUCACAUUGACGCUGAGGCUCGAAAGCGUGGGGAGCAAACAGGAUUAGAUACCCUGGUAGUCCACGCCGUAAACGAUGAACACUAGGUUUUGACCCCGUCAACGGGUCAGAGCCGCAGCUAACGCGUUAAGUGUUCCGCCUGGGGAGUACGGUCGCAAGACUG
RNAcentral lists this ribosomal RNA (371 nucleotides) under uncultured organism. RNAcentral describes it as "bacterial SSU rRNA". It matches the Rfam family "Bacterial small subunit ribosomal RNA", at positions 526 to 896 of the family's 1533-position model. The record is from RNAcentral.